RNAcentral lists this ribosomal RNA (467 nucleotides) under uncultured bacterium. Its description in RNAcentral is "partial 16S ribosomal RNA". It matches the Rfam family "Bacterial small subunit ribosomal RNA", at positions 28 to 507 of the family's 1533-position model. The record is from RNAcentral.
GACGAACGCUGGCGGCGUGCUUAACACAUGCAAGUCGAACGGAAAGGCCUCUUUCGGGGGGUACUCGAGUGGCGAACGGGUGAGUAACACGUGAGUAACCUGCCCUUGACUUUGGGAUAACUUCAGGAAACUGGGGCUAAUACCGGAUAGGAGCUCCUGCUGCAUGGUGGGGGUUGGAAAGUUUCGGCGGUUGGGGAUGGACUCGCGGCUUAUCAGCUUGUUGGUGGGGUAGUGGCUUACCAAGGCUUUGACGGGUAGCCGGCCUGAGAGGGUGACCGGCCACAUUGGGACUGAGAGACGGCCCAGACUCCUACGGGAGGCAGCAGUGGGGAAUAUUGCACAAUGGGUGGAAGCCUGAUGCAGCAACGCCGGGGGCGGGAUGACGGCCUUCGGGUUGUAAACCGCUUUCGCUCAUGACGAAGCUUUGUGUGACGGUAGUGGGUAAAGAAGCACCGGCUAACUACGUG